AACUUCAAUUGUGAAAUUGAAUUGUUUUUAAAUUUUUGUCAAUUUUGUUUGAUUAAUUUCAAAAUAAUCUUCAAAACUUUCAACAACGGAUCUCUUGGUUCUCGCAUCGAUGAAGAACGCAGCGAAAUGCGAUAAGUAAUAUGAAUUGCAGAUUUUCGUGAAUCAUCGAAUCUUUGAACGCACAUUGCGGCCUCUGGUAUUCCAGAGGCCAUGCCUGUUUGAGCGUCAU
This 229-nucleotide ribosomal RNA is filed under the name Yamadazyma olivae. Its description in RNAcentral is "5.8S ribosomal RNA". The stretch from base 75 to 228 matches the Rfam family "5.8S ribosomal RNA". From Rfam's summary of the family: 5.8S ribosomal RNA (5.8S rRNA) is a component of the large subunit of the eukaryotic ribosome. Lineage: Eukaryota; Fungi; Ascomycota; Pichiomycetes; Serinales; Debaryomycetaceae. The record is from RNAcentral.